GAUGAACGCUGACAGAAUGCUUAAUACAUGCAAGUCUACUUGAACUUCGGUUUGGGUGGCUGACGGGUGAGUAACGCGUAAAGAACUUUCCUCACAGGUAGGGACAACAUUUGGAAACGAAUGCUAAUACCUGAUAUUAUGAUUUUAGGGCAUCCUAUGAUUAUGAAAGCUUUAUGUGCUGUGAGAGAGCUUUGCGUCCCAUUAGCUAGUGGUAGAGGGUACGGCUCACCAAGGCGAUGAUGGGUAGCCGGCCUGGGAGGGUGAAACGGCACAAGGGGAAUGGGGCACGGCCCUUACUCCUUCGGGAGGCAGCCGUGGGAGAUAUUGGGACAUAGACCAAAAGUCUGAUCCAGCAAUUCUGUGUGCACGAUGACGUUUUUCGGAAUGUAAAGUGCUUUCAGUUGCGAAGAAAAAAAUGACGGUACCAACAGAAGAAGUGACGGCUAAAUACGUG
RNAcentral lists this ribosomal RNA (454 nucleotides) under uncultured bacterium. Its description in RNAcentral is "partial 16S ribosomal RNA". It matches the Rfam family "Bacterial small subunit ribosomal RNA", at positions 28 to 507 of the family's 1533-position model. The record is from RNAcentral.